UGUGGUGGCAUGAAGGUAGCCACGAGAAGUCAGUGAUUCUUCAGAAGAAUAUUAUUCCAAACUGACCUUGCUUGUUCCUUUGCAGGUAGCCAGCACUGUUCACAUCAUAUUACAACAGGAUGCUUAUGAGCUCAUCAAGGGAAGACUGCAGUGGGUCAUGUGCCUUAUAAAACUGAUGCUGCAGUGCAAACAUACAAAGGAUGUGCCUGGUCUGAUGAGUUGCUGAGAACAGCACGGAGUCCUGCUAUGGCUUGUGGCCUGUUUACUGUCCAUGGAUUCAUGCACCCACCCAUCCCCCCAGCCUCCUGUCCUGCAACAUUUUGAUGUACGUACCCAGAAACUGCUGGUAGGAUGGCAGCCAUAAGCUUCCAAAGCCAGGAGUACUUUUAAGUGACAUUUGUUGGGUGUUAUGAAUCAGACCUCCAGCGGUAACCUUGUGGCCGCAGGGACCUGAGGACAGCAGCAGGCUUCAGCAGGACAAACGGGGAGAGCCACUGGUCCCAUGGCGUGUGGCUGGAGGGCAGCAGGAAGACUGCACAGACCUGCCACGGAGGGGACGCAUCUGGCUCAAUUUCCAUUUAUAUUCAACUACACUGUGGAAAAGACUUUGUGUGUGAAUGUCUCCACGAUACCACUCAGUAAGAGGAGAAGAUUCUACCCUUAAAAGGGUGGUGCAAGUCCAGAACUGCUCUGCUGACUUCACAGAGGUGUAAAUGAGAACAAAACAAAGACAAUUACUUUUAAAUGGAUUAAUCAGAGCAAGAUAAAAAAUAAGAAAAUUCUGUUCCCAUUUUAUAUUCAGGUAAGAAAUUGGGGUUUGUUCUCCUUGUUUGCCAGUGCUUCAGAAAUAGGAAAUAAUAUCUGAGAAUUCUUUUUUCUUUCUUGACAAAGAGCGUUAGUCAAAAAUUGGGAACCAGAUGGCUGCUUAUAUAUUUCUUUUUCUUUUUUUUUUUAUUUACUGCAAUACUAAAGCCACCAUAAAAAAAGCAAAGUUGAACAGACAGAGCUAAUAAUAUAAUCAUUCAAAACACCUGCAAACAGUGCAGAUGGGCAAUUUCUGUCUGCAAAAUCAUCAGUGAAAGACCGCCUUCCCAUAUGGGCAAAUCUAGCUGCCUUAGAGCUUCCUAAGCUCUGUCCCUUACCUUAAGAAAACCUGCAUUGAGCAUAUGCAGUCUUUUUAUAGCAGAGCAGAAGUGUCUGUAUCUGCCCGUUUAUUUUAGUUAAAUAUAACGUACCACACUGAUAGCCCUCUAUCAGCGUAUUUGAUUUGCCCAUCAUAUGUCCCCAAAGUGCAGAAACCCUGAAGCAAUAAGGCAAACAGCUUUUAUUCGGGCAGAACAUUUGCAAUUGUUAAUGUAUUUUAACGAACCCCCAGCACACAAAUUUUAUUCCUUUAUGUAAGCAAACAGCUACAGGAUCAGGGCUGCUG
Molecule: long non-coding RNA, 1429 nt
Filed under: Anser brachyrhynchus (Pink-footed goose)
Lineage: Eukaryota; Metazoa; Chordata; Aves; Anseriformes; Anatidae
Description: lncRNA (ENSABRG00000001093.1)
Source: RNAcentral